Molecule: ribosomal RNA, 122 nt
Filed under: Pachypsylla venusta (hackberry petiole gall psyllid)
Lineage: Eukaryota; Metazoa; Arthropoda; Insecta; Hemiptera; Aphalaridae
Source: RNAcentral
GCCAACGAUCAUACUACGUUGAAUACACCAGUUCUUGUCAGAUCACUGAAGUUAACCAACGUAGGGCGUGGUCAGUACUUGGAUGGGUGACCGCUUGGGAACACCACGUAUCGUUGGCUCAU